This 590-nucleotide ribosomal RNA is filed under the name Brevibacillus sp. RNAcentral describes it as "bacterial SSU rRNA". It matches the Rfam family "Bacterial small subunit ribosomal RNA", at positions 146 to 719 of the family's 1533-position model. Lineage: Bacteria; Bacillati; Bacillota; Bacilli; Caryophanales; Paenibacillaceae. The record is from RNAcentral.
ACAUAGGGAAACUUAUGCUAAUACCGGAUAGGUUUUUGGAUCGCAUGAUCCGAAAAGAAAAGGCGGCUUUAAGCUGUCACUGGGAGAUGGGCCUGCGGCGCAUUAGCUAGUUGGUGGGGUAAUGGCCUACCAAGGCGACGAUGCGUAGCCGACCUGAGAGGGUGACCGGCCACACUGGGACUGAUACACGGCCCAGACUCCUACGGGAGGCAGCAGUAGGGAAUUUUCCACAAUGGACGAAAGUCUGAUGGAGCAACGCCGCGUGAACGAUGAAGGUCUUCGGAUUGUAAAGUUCUGUUGUUAGGGACGAACAAGUACCGUUCGAAUAGGGCGGUACCUUGACGGUACCUGACGAGAAAGCCACGGCUAACUACGUGCCAGCAGCCGCGGUAAUACGUAGGUGGCAAGCGUUGUCCGGAUUUAUUGGGCGUAAAGCGCGCGCAGGCGGCUAUGUAAGUCUGGUGUUAAAGCCCGGAGCUCAAACUCCGGUUCGCAUCGGAAACUGUGUAGCUUGAGUGCAGAAGAGGAAAGCGGUAUUUCCACGUGUAGCGGUGAAAUGCGUAUAGAUGUGGAGGAACACCAGUGGCGAA